Molecule: transfer RNA, 72 nt
Organism: Pseudoramibacter alactolyticus ATCC 23263
Lineage: Bacteria; Bacillati; Bacillota; Clostridia; Eubacteriales; Eubacteriaceae
Rfam family: tRNA
About the family: Transfer RNA (tRNA) molecules are approximately 80 nucleotides in length. Their secondary structure includes four short double-helical elements and three loops (D, anti-codon, and T loops).
Source: Rfam
GGCCCGUUGGUCAAGCGGUUAAGACAUCGCCCUUUCACGGCGAUAACGGGAGUUCGAUUCUCCCACGGGUCA